AUUGAACGCUGGCGGCAGGCCUAACACAUGCAAGUCGAACGGAUCCUUCGGGAUUAGUGGCGGACGGGUGAGUAACGCGUGGGAACAUACCCUUUGGUACGGAAUAGCCUCGGGAAACUGGGAGUAAUACCGUAUGUGGUCGAGAGACGAAAGAUUUAUCGCCAAAGGAUUGGCCCGCGUUGGAUUAGGCAGUUGGUGGGGUAAUGGCCUACCAAGCCGACGAUCCAUAGCUGGUUUGAGAGGAUGAUCAGCCACACUGGGACUGAGACACGGCCCAGACUCCUACGGGAGGCAGCAGUGGGGAAUCUUAGACAAUGGGGGAAACCCUGAUCUAGCCAUGCCGCGUGAUCGAUGAAGGCCUUAGGGUUGUAAAGAUCUUUCAGGUGGGAAGAUAAUGACUGUACCACCAGAAGAAGCCCCGGCUAACUCCGUGCCAGCCGCCGCGGUAA
This 449-nucleotide ribosomal RNA is filed under the name uncultured bacterium. RNAcentral describes it as "partial 16S ribosomal RNA". It matches the Rfam family "Bacterial small subunit ribosomal RNA", at positions 30 to 523 of the family's 1533-position model. The record is from RNAcentral.